Molecule: ribosomal RNA, 522 nt
Filed under: uncultured Glomeromycotina
Lineage: Eukaryota; Fungi; Glomeromycota
Description: SSU rRNA
Rfam family: Eukaryotic small subunit ribosomal RNA
Source: RNAcentral
AGCAGCCGCGGUAAUUCCAGCUCCAAUAGCGUAUAUUAAAGUUGUUGCAGUUAAAAAGCUCGUAGUUGAAUUUCGGGGUUAGUAGAUUGGUCAUGCCUCUGGUAUGCACUGGACUCACUGAUUCCUCCUUCCUGAUGAGCCGUAAUGCCAUUAAUUUGGUGUUGCGGGGAAUUUGGACUGUUACUUUGAAAAAAUUAGAGUGUUUAAAGCAAGCUAACGCUUGAAUACAUUAGCAUGGAAUAAUGAAAUAGGACGUUCGAUCCUAUUUUGUUGGUUUCUAGGAUUGACGUAAUGAUUAAUAGGGAUAGUUGGGGGCAUUAGUAUUCAAUUGUCAGAGGUGAAAUUCUUGGAUUUAUUGAAGACUAACUACUGCGAAAGCAUUUGCCAAGGAUGUUUUCAUUAAUCAAGAACGAAAGUUAGGGGAUCGAAGACGAUCAGAUACCGUCGUAGUCUUAACCAUAAACUAUGCCGACUAGGGAUCGGAUGAUGUUAAUUUUUUAAUGACUCAUUCGGCGCCUUACG